CAGUAUUUAACUCAAGUGAAUACCUGGAAUAGAGAAAUAGGACAGGAGAAGAAAAUGAUCAGGUGUAGCAAAGCAACAAUAGCAAACAACAACAGCAGGAGCAAAUUGAACACCCAGGGACAGAUUUUAAAACCAACAGAGAUGAUUCCACGUCCAAUAAACAGAUUCAAUAAUUUUCAACAGCAACACCAAUAUCAGAAACCCAAACAGUAACCCAAGAAUUCAAUCCGAAAUCAGCAGUGCCAAAUGCAAACCACAUAAGCAGUAAUAGUGUUAUGAUUUUUAGCAGUAAAUAAAGACUUCAAUUUCAGUUUUUAAUUCUCAAAGACUAAAUCUGAAAUUUUUACUCUAGUUGAAAAUAUUCUUUCUCUCUAAAUUUUUUUCCUUUUAAGUGACAAAUGACUUUUAAUUAUAACCAACACAAGACUCUUUCUACCCUCCCUUUAAUUAUUAUCCCUACUCCUUUUAUGAUUACCCCCCUUUUAUUAUUACCCCACUCUUUUCUUUUACUUUUCAGCUUUUAUUAUUCAAGUAAAAAGUAGUCAAACAUUGACCCCCACAGUCCAUCCUCUUUUUACUUUACAUCAUUAUGCUCCCCACAUGUCUUGUCCCAUCUUUUUACUUUACAUAAUUAUGUUCUCCACUAUAUUUUAAACAAUUCCUUAUAUUUUCAAUUCCCAUAUUACCCUUGAAACUACUGAAAGUACUGUCAUAAAAAAAUCUGUUCAAACUUUCAAAAAUUAUCGAAGAACUAAAAUUGGAUUACCAGCUAUAACCAAUUCCUAAUCAAAUUCCAUCAACAAAUUCAUGAAAAUAGAUGGAAUCUUACAACAUCAUAUCAAAGGGAAUAAGCAGACAUUUAGAAAAAAUGAAUGCGCUAGGAGAACACCAAAAUGGUGAAUAACAAGAAAAAACUAAAACAGUACGAUGCAAAAACAUAAUAGGGAGUGAAUCUUAUCAACAUUAUAAAUCAAAACUAUACAAAAUGUAUGCUUAGUGACAGUGAGUUAAAUGACUAAGGAUUAACACAUAACACAUUUGACAUCAAACCAUUUGAAGAAAAACACAAACUACAAACAUGAACGGACUUAUCGACGAAUUUAUUUAAACGACUCAAUAAUUAUAACCCGUGACAGUCAAAUAAACGAUGAACAAAAAUUGAAAUACAACUAAAUAAAACAAAUACCAAUAUCAAAAUAGAACAAAAGGAGAGGAAAAAUACCUCAUAAAAUUCGACACAAGACAAACUCAACUCGAAUUCAGACCCAAAAUUUCAAGGUUAAACGGACUAAUUCUGAAGACAAAAAGACGAAGCAGAAUCUGGUCGUUCAUGGUGGUCGUCGUCACAACCAGAUUGGAACAAAAGGGCGUCGUUUUGGGUGUUUCACGGAGGAAGUUUAGGUCGUUCAGGAAGUGAAGAUGGUGACUGGUGGACGUGAAUGAGAAAGAAAGGGAAACACCAGCUAUGGCCGCCCCUGGCGGGCAGGUGAACAAUGCAGGUGGUUGACGGACAGCCGACCGGAGCCGGCUGGUUCGCUAGCUGGUCGUGAUUAGGUGGUUCAGCAGCGUGAGAGAGCUGGCUGACACUGGAACAAAGAAGAAAAUGCAGCGUAGGCAGUUUAGGGUGGUUUUCGUUCAAGCUGCCAUUGAUGGAGUUCAGGGGUGGCGUUUGGACGGAGAAGAACGUAGGGGGCAGUGGGGUGGUCGUUACUAUAGACGACGAGGGAGAAGACGUUUGGAGGGUGGUGGGGUGUGAGGAAGAAGAGAAGAGAGGGGAAGGGCAGCCAUGGAUUUGGGUGUUAUUAGGGUUAGGGAGGGUUUUUUGGAGAAGAUGAGUAAAAAGGGGGGUGCGUGCUUAAGUG
Molecule: long non-coding RNA, 1862 nt
Filed under: Nicotiana benthamiana
Lineage: Eukaryota; Viridiplantae; Streptophyta; Magnoliopsida; Solanales; Solanaceae
Description: long non-coding RNA (NBEN_LNC028625)
Source: RNAcentral